RNAcentral lists this transfer RNA (77 nucleotides) under Deltaproteobacteria bacterium. Its description in RNAcentral is "tRNA-Arg". It matches the Rfam family "tRNA". Rfam says of the family: Transfer RNA (tRNA) molecules are approximately 80 nucleotides in length. Lineage: Bacteria; Pseudomonadati; Myxococcota; Myxococcia. The record is from RNAcentral.
GCGGGCGUAGCUCAAUUGGAUAGAGCAUCAGACUUCGGAUCUGAGGGUUAGGGGUUCGAGUCCUCUCGCCCGCGCCA